GUGCGCGGAGAUGCAAAAGAUUCUAAUACUGACACAUCUGCUUCGUCGACUACCCCGAUGGGAACUAAUUCCAGUGGAUCUGGUUCAACUCCGACAGAAACUGCUGAUGGUGCAUCUAGUUCGUCGACCCCACCGUCUGGAGACUCCUACGAGGUGUUUUUGAGCUUUAGCGGUCGAGAUACUCGACAUGGCUUCACCGAUCACCUAUAUCAUGGGCUUGUCGAUGCUAGGAUCCAUACUUUCAGAGACAAUGAGAAGCUCGGCUGAGGCAAGAAGAUCGGCGAUGAUCUUUUUGCGGCCAUCAAGAACAGUAAGAUCCUAAUCCCCAUUCUCUCCGUGAAUUAUGGUACGAGCAGUUGGUGCUUGAAUGAAUUGGUUCAAAUAAUAGAGUGCAAGAAAAAUAACAAGGAUACUAUAGUGUUGCCUAUAUUGUACAAAGUGGAACCAUCUGACGUGGGACAUCUACUCGGGAGUUUUGGAGAUGAAUUUCGUAAGCGUGAGAAGCGUUUGUGUAAAAGGAAGGGUUUCGACUCAACGAUAUUGAAGAAAUGGAAGGAAGCACUCGAGGAAGUCAGCUCCUUGAAAGGACACAACGCCACAGGGCCUGAAGGAGAAUUGGUGAAAUCGAUUGUUCGAGAAGUCUUGAGAGAGCUGAUUACAAAGUUUGAGUUGGCUAUUCCCGAGAAUUUGAUCGGAAUUGAUAGUUAUGUGAAGGAUAUUAUGAAAUUUGUAGCUAAUAAUUCUCGUGCCACCCUAUUUGUUGGAAUCCAUGGAAUGGGAGGCAUUGGUAAGACAACUCUUGCUAAAACCAUGUAUAACUAGCUCUUGAAUCAAUUUGAGUAUCAUAGCUUCAUUGCUGAUGUUAGGGGAAAAUAUAAGAAUGGCGUUGAACAAUUGCAGAAUAAGUUAAUCCAUGAUAUCUUGAAGAAUGAAAGUCUAGUUCAUGAUAAGGAUAAAGGGAUUAAGCUCCUCUCAUCCAAAUUUGAUGGCAAGAAAGUGCUGAUACUCCUUGAUGACGUGGGUGCUGAUGAUCACUUGAAGGAUUUGGCCGGAAGUCAUGAUUGGUUUUCUUCGGGAAGUGUCAUAAUUAUUACCACCAGAGAUGAGAGUAUUCUUGACAAAGCACAUGUGGACUACAAACAUGACCACCGGGUUCCGGAUAAGGAUAGUUCUUUGAUUCUAUUUAGUAGACAUGCCUUUCGAAAGGACGCUCCUCCAAGUGAAUUUCGGAUACUCACCGAUGAAGUUGUGUCCACCACCGGAAGGCUUCCCUUAUCUGUUAAAGUUUUAGGUUCAUUUUUGUGCGAUAAACCGCGAGGAGUAUGGGAAGAUACGAUAAAAUAGUUAAGAAAUGUCCCAGAUAAGGAAGUGCAAAAAACGCUAAGGAUAACGUAUGAUGCAUUGGAGGAUGAACAACAACAUAUAUUUUUGGAUAUCGCUUGUUUUUUUAUUGGCACUGAUUUGAGAAUAGCAUCCUACAUGUGGGACGCUUGCGGCUUUUACCCAAAGAAGGGGAUUGUAGUAUUGAGAUUAAUGUCGUUAAUCAAAGUUGGAGAGAAUCAUGAGCUCAGAAUGCAUGAUCAAUUACGAGAUCUUGGUCGGGAAAUCGUCCGCCAGGAAGACAAGAAGAAGCCUUGGAAUCGCAGCUGGUUAUGGGACUCCAAGGAAGUCAUGGAAGUGCUAGAGGAAGAUGAGGGAACAAGAAAGAUUGAGGCCAUUUCUUGCUCAAAAUUCUCUUCUCAUCAAGAUGACAAUAUCCUCACCGGCGAACAAUUCAAGGAAUUAA
Molecule: long non-coding RNA, 1786 nt
Organism: Rhodamnia argentea
Lineage: Eukaryota; Viridiplantae; Streptophyta; Magnoliopsida; Myrtales; Myrtaceae
Exons: 3
Source: RefSeq, a predicted model, not a curated record